This is a long non-coding RNA of Neogale vison (American mink), 630 nucleotides long. RefSeq lists it as uncharacterized. The record is from RefSeq and is a predicted model, not a curated record. NCBI's taxonomy places the organism in Eukaryota, Metazoa, Chordata, Mammalia, Carnivora, Mustelidae. The transcript is spliced from 4 exons.
CUAAUUACUUCCUUUUCCGGCUUCCUCUCUGCCUUUUCAAACCUUUCAUUUUCUAUAGCUGGAUGGAGCCUUUUUUUGUUUGUUAGGUGGGAAGCUGCCCGAUUCAUGAGUUGUUCAGUAAAGCCAAUGUGAUCACUUCAAUUGCUGUUUAACAGAUUUGGUGGCCGUUGCAGAUUGAAGAAGACUGCUGAUAGGCGUGGUGCCUGCGAACUCUUUUUUGAGUUCACUGUCUUUCUCACCAUUUCUGAAGGCCAUGGAGGAAUUCGUGGAAGGGAAUCUGACAAGCUCUCUCAAAUACAGAUUUCUGAAAAUGUUCCAAUCAUACAACUGAACUGCUUUAAAUGGUGUUCCCAGCUGCUGACCACCCAGCAUGUGAUCUCCUGAAGACUGGACUGUCAGAAAAACAAUGAAGAGGACAAUGAGCUUAAAAAUUAUGAACUUUGGGAUACCUGUUGACUCAGUCGGUGGAGAGUGACAUCUAACCAACCAACCUGGAAGUCCCGGGGCAGCACUAGGAAAUUUACAGAUAGGCGCCUCCUGUGCCCCUUAGAAGGGAGACCUUACCUAAAACAAUACCCUCUUUGCUGAUAAUUCCCUCCCCUUCCCCUCCUCUCUGCCUUAACAAGCCUU